This 826-nucleotide ribosomal RNA is filed under the name Diploceras hypericinum. RNAcentral describes it as "partial 28S ribosomal RNA". It matches the Rfam family "Eukaryotic large subunit ribosomal RNA", at positions 69 to 922 of the family's 3401-position model. Lineage: Eukaryota; Fungi; Ascomycota; Sordariomycetes; Amphisphaeriales; Sporocadaceae. The record is from RNAcentral.
CAGGGAUUGCCCUAGUAACGGCGAGUGAAGCGGCAACAGCUCAAAUUUGAAAUCUGGCCCUCGGGUCCGAAUUGUAAUUUGUAGAGGAUGUUUUUGGUGCGGUAUCUUCCGAGUUCCUUGGAACAGGACGCCUUAGAGGGUGAGAGCCCCGUACGGUUGAAUGCCUAGCCUUUGUAAAACUCCUUCGACGAGUCGAGUAGUUUGGGAAUGCUGCUCUAAAUGGGAGGUAAAUUUCUUCUAAAGCUAAAUACCGGCCAGAGACCGAUAGCGCACAAGUAGAGUGAUCGAAAGAUGAAAAGCACUUUGAAAAGAGGGUUAAAUAGCACGUGAAAUUGUUGAAAGGGAAGGAUUUAUGACCAGACUUUUUCUAGGCGAAUCAUCCGGUGUUCUCACCGGUGCACUUCGUUUAGUUUAGGCCAGCAUCGAUUUUCGGGGUGGGAUAAAAGCUUCAGGAAUGUGGCUCCCUCGGGAGUGUUAUAGCCUGUUGCAUAAUACCGCCCUGGGGAUCGAGGUACGCGCUUCUGCAAGGAUGCUGGCGUAAUGGUUAUCAAUCACCCGUCUUGAAACACGGACCAAGGAGUCGAACAUUUGUGCAAGUGUUUGGGUGUUAAACCCUCACGCGUAAUGAAAGUGAACGGAGGUGAGAGCCCUUACGGGUGCAUCAUCGACCGAUCCUGAUGUCUUCGGAUGGAUUUGAGUAAGAGCAUAACUGUUCGGACCCGAAAGAUGGUGAACUAUGCGUGGAUAGGGUGAAGCCAGAGGAAACUCUGGUGGAGGCUCGCAGCGGUUCUGACGUGCAAAUCGAUCGUCAAAUCUGCGCAUGGGG